AUUGAACGCUGGCGGCAGGCCUAACACAUGCAAGUCGAGCGGAUGAAGGGAGCUUGCUCCUGGAUUCACCGGCGGACGGGUGAGUAAUGCCUAGGAAUCUGCCUGGUAGUGGGGGAUAACGUCCGGAAACGGGCGCUAAUACCGCAUACGUCCUGAGGGAGAAAGUGGGGGAUCUUCGGACCUCACGCUAUCAGAUGAGCCUAGGUCGGAUUAGCUAGUUGGUGGGGUAAAGGCCUACCAAGGCGACGAUCCGUAACUGGUCUGAGAGGAUGAUCAGUCACACUGGAACUGAGACACGGUCCAGACUCCUACGGGAGGCAGCAGUGGGGAAUAUUGGACAAUGGGCGAAAGCCUGAUCCAGCCAUGCCGCCUGUGUGAAGAAGGUCUUCGGAUUGUAAAGCACUUUAAGUUGGGAGGAAGGGCAGUAAGUUAAUACCUUGCUGUUUUGACGUUACCAACAGAAUAAGCACCGGCUAACUUCGUG
RNAcentral lists this ribosomal RNA (484 nucleotides) under uncultured bacterium. RNAcentral describes it as "partial 16S ribosomal RNA". It matches the Rfam family "Bacterial small subunit ribosomal RNA", at positions 30 to 507 of the family's 1533-position model. The record is from RNAcentral.